This 101-nucleotide non-coding RNA is filed under the name Gracilibacillus phocaeensis. RNAcentral describes it as "SAM riboswitch (S box leader)". It matches the Rfam family "SAM riboswitch aptamer (S box leader)". From Rfam's summary of the family: The SAM riboswitch is found upstream of a number of genes which code for proteins involved in methionine or cysteine biosynthesis in Gram-positive bacteria. The SAM riboswitch acts at the level of transcription termination control. Lineage: Bacteria; Bacillati; Bacillota; Bacilli; Caryophanales; Bacillaceae. The record is from RNAcentral.
UCUUAUCAAGAGAGGUAGAGGGACUGGCCCGAUGACACCUCAGCAACCAGCAUAAAGAUGUAUGGUGCUAAUUCCAGGCGGCUAACUACCGACAGAUGAGA